GAGUAGUACAGUUCCAGCGGCCAUACGAGACACACGUGUCGACGACUACGCUAAGGCAGUUGGAAAAAAAAGAAGAAGAAGAAGAAGAAGAAGAAGAAGAAGAAAAAGAACAUAAAAAGAGAAACGAGGACUCGAUAAGAAGGAUCAUCGAGAAUAAUCGUAGGAAAUAAGUUUUUAAUUACAAUCGUACUCAAGAAUAAAUCGUUGUAACGUUCAUCUUACAAUGGUCUAACGAUAAACUAAAAGAUUCGGAAUUCUCGUCUAUGUGUUUAUAGUCAUUGAGUCAAGUUAACUACGACUACGAAA
This 306-nucleotide unclassified non-coding RNA is filed under the name Polistes fuscatus (common paper wasp). Its description in RNAcentral is "uncharacterized LOC122514150, transcript variant X1". The record is from RNAcentral. Lineage: Eukaryota; Metazoa; Arthropoda; Insecta; Hymenoptera; Vespidae.